Long non-coding RNA from Mauremys reevesii (Reeves's turtle), 311 nucleotides. RefSeq lists it as uncharacterized. NCBI's taxonomy places the organism in Eukaryota, Metazoa, Chordata, Testudines, Geoemydidae. The record is from RefSeq and is a predicted model, not a curated record. The transcript has 3 exons.
GACUAAGUCACUGGCAGGCUGGAGCAAAAUUCAUCCAUAUAGGGGGUGUGUUUUGGUUUGGUUGUUUUAGUGAAGCCUGAAGUAACACCCAGCAAACCACUCUCACAGGGACCACCACAAGAAGGUCCCAGAGAGAAGAUAGGAAGGGUGGAGUAUGGCUUUGAUGGCAACCGCAUCUGUUACAAGAGCAGGAGAAUGACAGUAUGAAGUAUCAUUACCAAAGAGACAGCCUUUCUGAAAGGAACAAACGGGCCGGCUCCAGGCACCAGCCCAGCAAGCAGCUGCUUGGGGCGGCCAACGGUGAGGGGUGG